AUGGCGACCAUGACCAACGAAGAAAUGGGGUCACCGGGUUCAGCACCAGGGCUUGCUCAGGAUGCUCCGACGAUCAUCAGAAUUCCCUUGAGAGCCAUACUUGACAUCGUGCUAGCAGAGCUGGGAAUCCCAGAGGCCGAAUACCGUCGCGAGAUAUGCGACGAUAACAAGAUCUGCGUCACCGUGCUUUUCGACGCCUCUACAAUCAAAGGAGCCCCCGCCCAUAUGUCGAUAUCCGGAACAUAUUCCACGGACGAUGAAGUGGCAGAGGACACAGCUGCUCUUAAAGCCAUUGAGUACUUAGAAACUGCGGCCAAUGUGGUGAUCAGGGACUACAGUUACGACAAGCUGAAACGGCUCGAGGAAGAAACCGAGCGCCUGAUGGAGCAGUUGGAAGAAGCAAAUGGUGCCAUACCCAAGCUUGUUAGGGGCUGGCUGCUUGCUGUCAGAUGUAUGAGUUCAUUCUCUCAUAGUCUUAAGCUACUCCUGGGCAAAGUAUCAUGGAUGAGAUUAUGA
Molecule: ribosomal RNA, 516 nt
Filed under: Triticum aestivum (bread wheat)
Lineage: Eukaryota; Viridiplantae; Streptophyta; Magnoliopsida; Poales; Poaceae
Description: partial small subunit ribosomal RNA
Source: RNAcentral